AGCGGAGUGGCCAUAGGGCAAGUGAAGUGGUUAUGGUGCUCUCACCAACUUUUGUGAAUUCUCUUGUGGAUUGAAUUGUUCAAUCUCGGUCACAAAUUGCAUAUGACAUGUAUAUGAAUGUGAUUCAUAUGUAAUUAGGUUAAUUUUAAAUAUGCGAUAUUUAGGAUUAACAUGUAUGUUCAAAUGGUGAAUGUAUGAAAUUGGCAUGGUAGCUGAUCAUGGACUUUAGGAGACCAUUGUGAAUUGAGUUUUUGAUUAAUUCCAUGGAUUGUAAUAAUUAUUUUAAUUUUACAAGGGUUGUAUCAUAAAUUUUUGUGAUAGAGUCAUAGGUUGUACAUUCAUUUAUUUGAACUUGAAUGCUCAAUUUCAUUGUAAUUUCACCUUGGUAUGCCAAGGAUAAAUGUUAUAAUUGACUUGGUGAACUUACAAGAUGGAAUGAAG
RNAcentral lists this unclassified non-coding RNA (441 nucleotides) under Hevea brasiliensis (rubber tree). The record is from RNAcentral. Lineage: Eukaryota; Viridiplantae; Streptophyta; Magnoliopsida; Malpighiales; Euphorbiaceae.